GAUGAACGCUGGCGGCGUGCCUAAUACAUGCAAGUCGAGCGAACAGAUAAGGAGCUUGCUCCUUUGACGUUAGCGGCGGACGGGUGAGUAACACGUGGGUAACCUACCUAUAAGACUGGAAUAACUCCGGGAAACCGGGGCUAAUGCCGGAUAACAUUUAGAACCGCAUGGUUCUAAAGUGAAAGAUGGUUUUGCUAUCACUUAUAGAUGGACCCGCGCCGUAUUAGCUAGUUGGUAAGGUAACGGCUUACCAAGGCAACGAUACGUAGCCGACCUGAGAGGGUGAUCGGCCACACUGGAACUGAGACACGGUCCAGACUCCUACGGGAGGCAGCAGUAGGGAAUCUUCCGCAAUGGGCCAAAACCUGACGGAGCAACGCCGCGUGAGUGAUGAAGGUCUUCGGAUCGUAAAACUCUGUUAUUAGGGAAGAACAAAUGUGUAAGUAACUGUGCACGUCUUGACGGUACCUAAUCAGAAAGCCACGGCUAACUACGUG
This 497-nucleotide ribosomal RNA is filed under the name uncultured bacterium. Its description in RNAcentral is "partial 16S ribosomal RNA". It matches the Rfam family "Bacterial small subunit ribosomal RNA", at positions 28 to 507 of the family's 1533-position model. The record is from RNAcentral.